AGUGAACGCUGGCGGUAGGCCUAACACAUGCAAGUCGAACGGCAGCACAGUAAGAGCUUGCUCUUACGGGUGGCGAGUGGCGGACGGGUGAGGAAUACAUCGGAAUCUACUUUUUCGUGGGUGAUAACGUAGGGAAACUUACGCUAAUACCGCAUACGACCUACGUGUGAAAGCAGGGGAUCUUCGGACCUUGCGCGAUUGAAUGAGCCGAUGUCGGAUUAGCUAGUUGGCGGGGUAAAGGCCCACCAAGGCGACGAUCCGUAGCUGGUCUGAGAGGAUGAUCAGCCACACUGGAACUGAGACACGGUCCAGACUCCUACGGGAGGCAGCAGUGGGGAAUAUUGGACAAUGGGCGCAAGCCUGAUCCAGCCAUACCGCGUGGGUGAAGAAGGCCUUCGGGUUGUAAAGCCCUUUUGUUGGGAAAGAAAAGCAGCAGGUUAAUACCCCGCUGUUCUGACGGUACCCAAAGAAUAAGCACCGGCUAACUUCGUG
RNAcentral lists this ribosomal RNA (492 nucleotides) under uncultured bacterium. Its description in RNAcentral is "partial 16S ribosomal RNA". It matches the Rfam family "Bacterial small subunit ribosomal RNA", at positions 29 to 507 of the family's 1533-position model. The record is from RNAcentral.